RNAcentral lists this ribosomal RNA (448 nucleotides) under uncultured prokaryote. RNAcentral describes it as "bacterial SSU rRNA". It matches the Rfam family "Bacterial small subunit ribosomal RNA", at positions 355 to 796 of the family's 1533-position model. The record is from RNAcentral.
UGGGGAAUCUUGCGCAAUGGAGGAAACUCUGACGCAGCUACGCCGCGUGCAGGAAGACACCCCUAUGGGGCGUAAACUGCUUUUCUGCGAGAAGAAGGCCGCUCCCCUCGCGGGGAGGGUUUGACGGUACCGCAGGAAUAAGGACCGGCUAACUCCGUGCCAGCAGCCGCGGUAAUACGGAGGGUCCAAGCGUUGUCCGGAAUCACUGGGUGUAAAGGGUGUGCAGGCGGACUGUCAAGUCAGUGGUGAAAGCCCGCAGCUCAACUGCGGAAGUGCCAUUGAAACUGGCAGUCUUGAGUCCCGGAGGGGUUAUCGGAAUUCGUGGUGUAGCGGUGAAAUGCGUAGAUAUCACGAGGAACACCAGAAGCGUAAGCGGAUAACCGGACGGUGACUGACGCUCAGGCACGAAAGCGUGGGGAGCAAACAGGAUUAGAUACCCGCGUAGUCC